CAGAAACGGCGUCCCAGUUCGGAUUGCAGCCUGCAACUCGGCUGCAUGAAGCUGGAAUCGCUAGUAAUCGCGGAUCAGAAUGCCGCGGUGAAUACGUUCCCGGGUCUUGUACACACCGCCCGUCACACCAUGGGAGUCGGGAAUGCCCGAAGUCAGUGACCCAACCGAAAGGGGGGAGCUGCCGAAGGCAGGCCUGGUAACUGGGGUGAAGUCGUAACAAGGUAUC
This 226-nucleotide ribosomal RNA is filed under the name uncultured bacterium. RNAcentral's name for it is "partial 16S ribosomal RNA". It matches the Rfam family "Bacterial small subunit ribosomal RNA", at positions 1275 to 1500 of the family's 1533-position model. The record is from RNAcentral.